This 264-nucleotide long non-coding RNA is filed under the name Gossypium raimondii (Peruvian cotton). RNAcentral's name for it is "long non-coding RNA (GRAI_LNC008315)". The record is from RNAcentral. Lineage: Eukaryota; Viridiplantae; Streptophyta; Magnoliopsida; Malvales; Malvaceae.
CGGGUUUAGGACUGUAUUUUGGGUUAGAUUUUAUUGGGCUAAUGUUUAGUUUGGGCCAUAUUGAGUCCAGUGUAAAUGGACAUUUAAAAUGGACUAUUUUUAUUGGUUUAUAUUUUUUGUUUAUUUAUUUUUGAUUUGGGCCGGGAAAAUUUAGGCUAUUACAGCUGCCCCUCUUUGCUCAUUGUCGUGUAACGGGAACAGAGCAAAGACUUUAAAAUAGCCAAUUUUGCCUGGUCGUGUUGGACCUUGGUGCUCUUUUGCUUC